AGGGCGUAGGUAGUACCAAUAGUUGCGUCGGUAGUACUGGCUGUCUUACACUAGUAGUACCGGCCUAAACUGUCGGUGGUACCGACAGGCAUUUAACUUCCGCAACUUGACUUUUGAGUUUCAGGUUUUUUAGAUACGCCUAUUCACCCCCCUCUAGGCGACAUCAAGGUGCUUACAGCUUCAUAUUUUUCUCUCUUACUACUUAUUCUUGUUGUCCCUACUAUGAACUACCC
RNAcentral lists this long non-coding RNA (233 nucleotides) under Sorghum bicolor (sorghum). RNAcentral describes it as "long non-coding RNA (SBIC_LNC014728)". Lineage: Eukaryota; Viridiplantae; Streptophyta; Magnoliopsida; Poales; Poaceae. The record is from RNAcentral.